Molecule: long non-coding RNA, 279 nt
Filed under: Polistes fuscatus (common paper wasp)
Lineage: Eukaryota; Metazoa; Arthropoda; Insecta; Hymenoptera; Vespidae
Description: uncharacterized LOC122514759
Source: RNAcentral
CAUUUAUUAUUAAUUAAUUACAUUUCAGAGACUGAUUGCCGAAUUAAAUAAAGAGCAAGAGGCUUUCAUCGCGAGUAAGCAAAAUGGAAAAGGUGAAGCAGUUGCACCAUGGGUUGGAGCACCAAACGAGGACGUAUUACGCGAAGAAUGUCUGUCUCUUUCUACGGAACGUCGUAAUUUCACGAGAGCACCACCACCCGACGUUGAAUUCGCUUGGGAUUUCGAAGCAAUUCAGCCUGUAGCAAGAGCCACCCUUGCCCUGGAUCCUAAUCUCGAAAA